GUGCCGACCGACCAUCCCUGAAAGCUUGAUUACUGAACUUGGAGCGAGUGGCCUCCACACGCCACUCUUGGUUUUUGGUUCCUGUUCAACGCGCCGGCGCGUGACCAUGCCUGUGCUAUCCUCCGAAGACGUCCGGCAGUUGCACUUCAUGUUUCAACAUCGCCUCAACCUGGUGAUUCUAUUCCCAUGGGCUGUUGUUUAGUUUGGGGCAAUUUUUGGAUCUCCAAGGUUUGAGAUCUUGAGUUCACUUUCAAGCAGUUCUAUUUUGGGAAACUUCAGAUUCUGUUUCAAGGAAUCCCUUUUGUUUCUAAGUUUUAUUGUAUUUAUUUAAGGAUUGGCUAGUGUUGGCACUUGUUUUAUUGGUACCUAUUGAGUCUGCUUUGCUUAAUUGAGAAUUGGGACCAAGUUGGUUAUUAUUGUGUUAGAAUUUUGUUAAUUUUAUUUAAUGGCAGACAAUAAGGCUAUUAUUUCUGAU
Molecule: unclassified non-coding RNA, 475 nt
Filed under: Hevea brasiliensis (rubber tree)
Lineage: Eukaryota; Viridiplantae; Streptophyta; Magnoliopsida; Malpighiales; Euphorbiaceae
Source: RNAcentral